Molecule: ribosomal RNA, 2419 nt
Filed under: Shigella boydii
Lineage: Bacteria; Pseudomonadati; Pseudomonadota; Gammaproteobacteria; Enterobacterales; Enterobacteriaceae
Also listed under: 1 other name
Description: partial 23S ribosomal RNA
Rfam family: Bacterial large subunit ribosomal RNA
Source: RNAcentral
UGAAUAUGGGGGGACCAUCCUCCAAGGCUAAAUACUCCUGACUGACCGAUAGUGAACCAGUACCGUGAGGGAAAGGCGAAAAGAACCCCGGCGAGGGGAGUGAAAAAGAACCUGAAACCGUGUACGUACAAGCAGUGGGAGCACGCUUAGGCGUGUGACUGCGUACCUUUUGUAUAAUGGGUCAGCGACUUAUAUUCUGUAGCAAGGUUAACCGAAUAGGGGAGCCGAAGGGAAACCGAGUCUUAACUGGGCGUUAAGUUGCAGGGUAUAGACCCGAAACCCGGUGAUCUAGCCAUGGGCAGGUUGAAGGUUGGGUAACACUAACUGGAGGACCGAACCGACUAAUGUUGAAAAAUUAGCGGAUGACUUGUGGCUGGGGGUGAAAGGCCAAUCAAACCGGGAGAUAGCUGGUUCUCCCCGAAAGCUAUUUAGGUAGCGCCUCGUGAAUUCAUCUCCGGGGGUAGAGCACUGUUUCGGCAAGGGGGUCAUCCCGACUUACCAACCCGAUGCAAACUGCGAAUACCGGAGAAUGUUAUCACGGGAGACACACGGCGGGUGCUAACGUCCGUCGUGAAGAGGGAAACAACCCAGACCGCCAGCUAAGGUCCCAAAGUCAUGGUUAAGUGGGAAACGAUGUGGGAAGGCCCAGACAGCCAGGAUGUUGGCUUAGAAGCAGCCAUCAUUUAAAGAAAGCGUAAUAGCUCACUGGUCGAGUCGGCCUGCGCGGAAGAUGUAACGGGGCUAAACCAUGCACCGAAGCUGCGGCAGCGACACUAUGUGUUGUUGGGUAGGGGAGCGUUCUGUAAGCCUGUGAAGGUGUACUGUGAGGUAUGCUGGAGGUAUCAGAAGUGCGAAUGCUGACAUAAGUAACGAUAAAGCGGGUGAAAAGCCCGCUCGCCGGAAGACCAAGGGUUCCUGUCCAACGUUAAUCGGGGCAGGGUGAGUCGACUCCUAAGGCGAGGCCGAAAGGCGUAGUCGAUGGGAAACAGGUUAAUAUUCCUGUACUUGGUGUUACUGCGAAGGGGGGACGGAGAAGGCUAUGUUGGCCGGGCGACGGUUGUCCCGGUUUAAGCGUGUAGGCUGGUUUUCCAGGCAAAUCCGGAAAACUAAGGCUGAGGCGUGAUGACGAGGCACUACGGUGCUGAAGCAACAAAUGCCCUGCUUCCAGGAAAAGCCUCUAAGCAUCAGGUAACAUCAAAUCGUACCCCAAACCGACACAGGUGGUCAGGUAGAGAAUACCAAGGCGCUUGAGAGAACUCGGGUGAAGGAACUAGGCAAAAUGGUGCCGUAACUUCGGGAGAAGGCACGCUGAUAUGUAGGUGAAGUCCCUCGCGGAUGGAGCUGAAAUCAGUCGAAGAUACCAGCUGGCUGCAACUGUUUAUUAAAAACACAGCACUGUGCAAACACGAAAGUGGACGUAUACGGUGUGACGCCUGCCCGGUGCCGGAAGGUUAAUUGAUGGGGUCAGCGCAAGCGAAGCUCUUGAUCGAAGCCCCGGUAAACGGCGGCCGUAACUAUAACGGUCCUAAGGUAGCGAAAUUCCUUGUCGGGUAAGUUCCGACCUGCACGAAUGGCGUAAUGAUGGCCAGGCUGUCUCCACCCGAGACUCAGUGAAAUUGAACUCGCUGUGAAGAUGCAGUGUACCCGCGGCAAGACGGAAAGACCCCGUGAACCUUUACUAUAGCUUGACACUGAACAUUGAGCCUUGAUGUGUAGGAUAGGUGGGAGGCUUUGAAGUGUGGACGCCAGUCUGCAUGGAGCCGACCUUGAAAUACCACCCUUUAAUGUUUGAUGUUCUAACGUUGACCCGUAAUCCGGGUUGCGGACAGUGUCUGGUGGGUAGUUUGACUGGGGCGGUCUCCUCCUAAAGAGUAACGGAGGAGCACGAAGGUUGGCUAAUCCUGGUCGGACAUCAGGAGGUUAGUGCAAUGGCAUAAGCCAGCUUGACUGCGAGCGUGACGGCGCGAGCAGGUGCGAAAGCAGGUCAUAGUGAUCCGGUGGUUCUGAAUGGAAGGGCCAUCGCUCAACGGAUAAAAGGUACUCCGGGGAUAACAGGCUGAUACCGCCCAAGAGUUCAUAUCGACGGCGGUGUUUGGCACCUCGAUGUCGGCUCAUCACAUCCUGGGGCUGAAGUAGGUCCCAAGGGUAUGGCUGUUCGCCAUUUAAAGUGGUACGCGAGCUGGGUUUAGAACGUCGUGAGACAGUUCGGUCCCUAUCUGCCGUGGGCGCUGGAGAACUGAGGGGGGCUGCUCCUAGUACGAGAGGACCGGAGUGGACGCAUCACUGGUGUUCGGGUUGUCAUGCCAAUGGCACUGCCCGGUAGCUAAAUGCGGAAGAGAUAAGUGCUGAAAGCAUCUAAGCACGAAACUUGCCCCGAGAUGAGUUCUCCCUGACUCCUUGAGAGUCCUGAAGGAACGUU